This 264-nucleotide ribosomal RNA is filed under the name uncultured Atopobium sp. RNAcentral describes it as "partial 16S ribosomal RNA". It matches the Rfam family "Bacterial small subunit ribosomal RNA", at positions 96 to 355 of the family's 1533-position model. Lineage: Bacteria; Bacillati; Actinomycetota; Coriobacteriia; Coriobacteriales; Atopobiaceae. The record is from RNAcentral.
AGGCGAACGGCUGAGUAACACGUGGGCAACCUGCCCUUUGCACUGGGAUAGCCUCGGGAAACCGAGGUUAAUACCGGAUACUCCAUAUUUGUCGCAUGGCGGAAUAUGGGGAAAAGCUCCGGCGGCAAAGGAUGGGCCCGCGGCCUGUUAGCUAGUUGGUGGGGGUAGUGGCCUACCAAGGCAAUGAUGGGUAGCCGGGUUGAGAGACCGACCGGCCAGAUUGGGACUGAGACACGGCCCAGACUCCUACGGGAGGCAGCAGCA